GCCUGGGUGGCUCAAUCGGUUGAGCGUCCGACUUCAGCUCAGGUCACGAUCUCACAGUUCGUGGGUUCGAGCCCCACCAUCAGGCU
Felis catus (domestic cat) is the source of this 86-nucleotide non-coding RNA. The record is from Rfam. NCBI's taxonomy places the organism in Eukaryota, Metazoa, Chordata, Mammalia, Carnivora, Felidae.